UUUUGUUGAUGAUUUCCUUUGCUGUGCAAAAGCUUUUCAUUUUGUAAUAGUCCCGUUUGCUUAUUUUUACUUUUAUUUCCCUAGCCUGAGGAGACAUAUCUAGAAAAAUGUUUCUACAGCUAAUGUCAAAGAAAUUACUGUCUAUGAAAAAUGCUGUUGGUAUGUUGGGAAGAAUUACAUUAAUUAAAUCUGUAGAUUGCAGGACACCUGGGCGGCUCAGUGGUUGAGCCUCUGCCUUCAGCUCAGGGAGUGAUCCCAGAGUAGCGGGAUCAAGUCCUGCAUCAGCUUCCCCAUGGGGAGCCUGCUUCUCCCUCUGCCUAUGUCUCUGCCUCUCUCUGUGUCUCUCAUGGAUAAAUAAAUAAAAUAUUUUUUAAAAAUCUGUAGAUUGCUUUGUGUAGUAUGAACUUUUUAGCAAUAUUGAUUCUUCUGAUCCAUGAGCAUAGAAUAUCUUUCCAUCUAUUGUGUUGACUUCAAUUUCUUUCAUCAAUGUUUUAUAGUUUUUGGAGCAUAGGUCUUUCACUUCCUUAGUUAAGUUAAUCCCUAUGUAUUUUAUUCUUUUUGGUGCACUUGUAAAUGGGAUUGCUUCCUUAAUUUUUCUUUCUGCUACUUCAUUAUUGGUGUAUAGAACUGCAACAGACUUCUGUAUGUUAAUUUUGUAUCCUGUGACUUUACUGAAUUCAUUUACCAGUUCUAGCAGUUUUUCAGUGGAAUCUAGGGUAUCAUGUUAUGUACACAAACCCAAUUUUUAAAAUUAGAUUCAAUAGAUAAAAAAUUAUGCUGUCCAAUUUCUAUGGAAGUUUCUAGAUGUGUACUUUCUUUUUUUUAGAUGUGUACUUUCACUUGAUUUCCCUAUGUCACAGCAGACCUGCAAGGACUGUCUAAGGGCCAGCACUUGUUCAGGGACCACACUUUGAGUAGCACAGAUCUAACAGUGAUUGCAUAUACAUUUCACUACUGGAAAUACAGACUCUCAUACUACAAGAAUAUUAUUGUUUUAAUCAAUGAGUUGACAUUUGGUUCUUUUAUUAAUGAGAGAAGAAUAACUGUGAUAAGCCAAAGUAAUGUGUUAGAUUUGAAAUUUUAUCCAACAAUAUUGCCCCUGAUAAAUUUCUGAUUAUAUAUACCAUUUAGGCUAAUGUUAAAAUCUGUAUUUUCCUGAGCAUAUAAGACUGCAAACAGAUGGAGGUAUCUGCCCAGGGAAUACAAUUUAUUUUGGUUAAAAAAUGUAUUGUGAAUAAUACAGUAUGUAUAUGGUCUAUAAUAUUCCUCAGAAAGAAAAUAAACCCGAGAAAGGCUAAAAGCAUAUGGAUUUACUACUUCAGAAAGCCACUACCUUACCUGGAUAUGGUACUCUCAAAUCUACAAGCCUGUUUUAUUAAACCAUGCUAUUUUACUGCUUGGAAUACCGUACCCACUCCCACCUGCAAAGUAAAAUUCUGCUUAUCUUAUAAGAUCCAGAUCAAGAGUUCUCUCUCAAGUGCUUUCUCAACAUUUCAUUCAUUCAUGCACCAUCCAUUCAUCCAUCCAUGCAACAAAGGCAUAUUGCCAGGCACCAUUCGAGAUGCUAGAGAUACAACAGUGAACAAGCCAUAGCUCCUAUCUUCUUGGAGCUUGUGUUUCAGUGAGGAAAAAAAAGAUAAACUAACAAAUGCAUUUGUAUAUAGUAUCUGGUGAGUGGUAAGUUUGCUAGAGAAACUGAAACACAGACUCAACUUACCUUCCUCAACAGAACACAGAAAGGGAUCUGAGAGACCAUUUUCUCAAUUUCCCCAAAGACGAUGCAUAGCUAUUACCAUUUUAGGUCCACAGGAGAGAAUUUAAUGCAGUACAUAUGACGGAUGCCUUAGGAAUGAGGUCUCAAUUCUCAGACAGAGACUGAAAUAGAUGGUAACCAACCUACUGUUUCAGAUACUGUGCUCCGAGCCGCCUCUCUAAGGACUCUCCAGGGGAGCAGAGACUUAAAAACAAUCCCAAAGAGUGAGCCAUGUAGGUAACUAAGGGAAGAGCAUGCCAGGCAAGGAUAAGCAAACACAAAUCCCAAAAGAAGCAGGGAACUUGAGUCUCAAGGAGAGCUGGGAGACCUGUGUGAUUAGAACAGAGUGAGCAAAGAGUAGAGCAACAGGAGACAAGGACAACACGUGAGGGUCAUUAAGCAGAGAGGCGCUCCCGGCAAGCCUUGCUGGCCUACUGCUUUGUUCGCAGGGCAGCACCUGGCACCACCACCCUGUUCCUGUGCAGUUAGCGACGCACUGUCUGAAGGCAGGCCCAUGUGAUGUUCAUCUUC
This 2284-nucleotide long non-coding RNA is filed under the name Canis lupus familiaris (dog). Its description in RNAcentral is "lncRNA (ENSCAFG00845027050.1)". The record is from RNAcentral. Lineage: Eukaryota; Metazoa; Chordata; Mammalia; Carnivora; Canidae.